Equus caballus (horse) is the source of this 2448-nucleotide long non-coding RNA. The record is from Ensembl. Lineage: Eukaryota; Metazoa; Chordata; Mammalia; Perissodactyla; Equidae.
UGAUGUUUUUUUGAAAAAACACUUAUUAAUUUAAUAAAGUCCAAUUUCUUUUAUUUUUUAUUUUAUAGUUGAAACUUUUGGUGUCUUAUCUGAAAGAUCUUGGUUUUUCUCCUAUAUUUCCUUCUAAAAGUCUUAUUUUGUCAUUUUUAAGCAUAUGUGAAUAAUACAUUUCAGGUCAAUUUUGGCACGUGUUGUAAGGUAAGGGUAGAAAUCCAUUUAUUUUACACUAGAUGUCCAGUUUUUCCAACACCUUUGAUUGAAAAUAAUAUGCUUUUCCCAUUGAAUGACCUUCAAACUUUUAUUGGACUUCAACUGAAUCUGUAUGUAUGGAUCUGCUUUUAGACCCCUGUCUCUUGAUUACUAUAGUUUCAUAGUAAGCCUUGAAAUCAGGUUGUGUAAGUCUUCCAACUUUGCUCUAUUUCAAAAUUGUUUUGGCUAUUCUAGAUCCUUUGCAUUUUCAUAUAAAUUUCAGGACCAGCUUGUCAAUUUUUAUCAAAGAAAAAGGCCGGCUAUGAUUUUGAUUGGCGUUGCUUUGAAUACAGAGAUUACUUUGGAGGAGAAUUGGCAUCUUAAAUCUAUUUAGUCUGUUGAUUCAUAAGCAUGGUAUCACUCUUCGUUUGUUUAGGUCUUCUUUCAUUUCUCUCAUCAAUGUUUUGUGCUUUUCAGUGUAUGUGCCAUGCACAAAAUGUAUCCCUAAGUAUUUCAGAGAUAUUUUUUGAUGUUAUUGUAAAUUUUUUAGAUCCAUUCAUACUUUUUCAAUUACACAGAUAUACAGUUGAUUUUCCUUAUUUAUUGACCUUAUGCCCUAGAAUCUUACCAAACUCACUUAUGCAUUCUAGUAGCAGUUAGCAAAUAAAGACAGUUUUAUAUCUUCAAUUUCAAUCUUAAGUCCUUUUCAUUCUUUUCCUCACCUUAUUGCACUGACUAGGAUCACCAGUGUAUUGUGUUUUCUGUGUUUGCAGUGCCGACUCUCCAACAUUCUGCUCCACAAAUUCCAGCCUGUGUUUCCUCCCCCAAUUCAAUUUCUGUCUCCUCAAAUCAGCAAGAAUAGUAGCCUCUGUUUUUGUUUCUGUCACUGACUUAUGGCCCAGAAACUGUCACUAGUCCUUGAUAGAGCUCAUCUUGUUUGCUUGCUAUUUCUCAGGGAUCACAGUCCUGCUCUGGCUGUUGUCUACUGUCUGAAAGCUAGCAUUUCAUAGAUUUUUCUUAGUGUUUUUUAGUUAUUUUAGUGGCAGGGUAUAUCCAGUCCCUGUUACUUCAAAUGACCUGAAGCAAAAUUCCUCUUGUGUGUCUCUGAAAUUAAAGUAUUUCCUGUAAACAUCAUAUAGUUGGAUCUUUUGAUUUUAUUCAUUAUGACAGUCUCUGCCUUUUAAUAAGACUUAGAUAUGUUUACAUUUAGUGUAAAGAUUUGUGUGGUUGAGUCUAAGUCUACUCUCUAGCUAGUUUUUUAAUAUUUGUUUUCUAUAUUUCUCUCUUCUUUUAUACCUCAUUUUCUGUCCUCUUUCCAAAGAUAUUUCUUUUUGGUAUUCCAUUCCUUCCCCCCAAUUAGCUUUACCUAUACCUUUUGAUAUUUGGUAUUUUGUUUAAUAAUUACAAUUCAGUUUUAUCAUUCUUUGUGCUAUUCUCGUCCAUGUCUUCAUUUAAUGUAUCUUAUGAACUCCACAAUAUAUGAUUUUUUUGCUAUAGUCUAUUGACUUAAAAGUAUUUAAGAAUAUAAAAAUUGUCUUUUAUAUCUAUUCACAUGGUUACCAUUUCCAGUGAUCCUCAUUCUUUCCUUAAUUCCUUAAUUCCAUUCACUUGGAAUUCCUUUCAACUAAAAAAAAGCUUUCUUUAGCAUUUCUUACUGUAUUGAUCUGCUGAUGAUAAAUUCUCUCAGCUUUCAUUUAUAUAAAAUAUGCCUAUUUUGCCUUCAUUUUGGAAAGAUUCUUUGCUCGAUAUGGAAUUCUAAGUUAACAGAUUUUUUCCUAAACUCUGCAUUUUAAAUAAAUGACUCUAUUGCUUUUGGCCCCCAUUAUUUCUGAAGAUAAGCCAGUUGUUAUCUGUAUUAUUGUUCCUUUUAUUGUAAUGUACCUAAUUUUCCCCAAGUUGUGUUUAAAAUUUUCUGCUUACCUUCAGUUUUCAGGAUUUUGAAUUAUAUGCAUAAAUGCAUUUCCUUUGAAUUUAUCUUGCUUAAGGUUUGCUGAAUCUCCUGGAUCUCUUACUAAUUUAGAAAUAGUUUUGGACAACAUUUUUUCAAAUUAUCUUGUCUGCCACUUCCUCUCUCUCCUUUCUUUCUGCGACUGCAAUUAGACAUAUAUUAGAUAGAUGAUUUUAUUUCACAGGUUGUUGGAACUAUGCUAUUCUGUUAAUCUCAGUGCAUGACUUUUUAAAAAUUUCAGAUAUUUUAUGUUUUAUUUCUAAGAUGUUCAUUUGUAUCUUAAUUAAGGUUUCCACAUCAUUCUACCAAUU